GACGAACGCUGGCGGCGUGCUUAACACAUGCAAGUCGAACGGAAAGGCCCUGCUUUUUUGGGGUGCUCGAGUGGCGAACGGGUGAGUAACACGUGAGUAACCUGCCCUUGACUUUGGGAUAACUUCAGGAAACUGGGGCUAAUACCGGAUAGGAGCUCCUGCUGCAUGGUGGGGGUUGGAAAGUUUCGGCGGUUGGGGAUGGACUCGCGGCUUAUCAGCUUGUUGGUGGGGUAGUGGCUUACCAAGGCUUUGACGGGUAGCCGGCCUGAGAGGGUGACCGGCCACAUUAGGACUGCGAUACGGACCAGACUCGUACGGUAGGCAGUGGGGGGGAACAUGGCCCAAUGGGCGGACGCCGGAGGCAGCAACGCCGCGUGCGUGAUGACGGCCUGCGGGUUGUAAACAGCUUUCGCCUGUGACGAAGCGGGAGUGACGGUAAUGGGUAAAGAAGCACCGGCUAACUACGUG
Molecule: ribosomal RNA, 468 nt
Filed under: uncultured bacterium
Lineage: Bacteria
Description: partial 16S ribosomal RNA
Rfam family: Bacterial small subunit ribosomal RNA
Source: RNAcentral